UCUUUUUCCACCGGAGCUUGCUCCACCGGAAAAAGANGAGUGGCGAACGGGUGAGUAACACGUGGGUAACCUGCCCAUCAGAAGGGGAUAACACUUGGAAACAGGUGCUAAUACCGUAUAACAAUCNAAACCGCAUGGUUUUGAUUUGAAAGGCGCUUUCGGGUGUCGCUGAUGGAUGGACCCGCGGUGCAUUAGCUAGUUGGUGAGGUAACGGCUCACCAAGGCCACGAUGCAUAGCCGACCUGAGAGGGUGAUCGGCCACAUUGGGACUGAGACACGGCCCAAACUCCUACGGGAGGCAGCAGUAGGGAAUCUUCGGCAAUGGACGAAAGUCUGACCGAGCAACGCCGCGUGAGUGAAGAAGGUUUUCGGAUCGUAAAACUCUGUUGUUAGAGAAGAACAAGGAUGAGAGUAACUGUUCAUCCCUUGACGGUAUCUAACCAGAAAGCCACGGCUAACUACGUGCCAGCAGCCGCGGUAAUACGUAGGUGGCAAGCGUUGUCCGGAUUUAUUGGGCGUAAAGCGAGCGCAGGCGGUUUCUUAAGUCUGAUGUGAAAGCCCCCGGCUCAACCGGGGAGGGUCAUUGGAAACUGGGAGACUUGAGUGCAGAAGAGGAGAGUGGAAUUCCAUGUGUAGCGGUGAAAUGCGUAGAUAUAUGGAGGAACACCAGUGGCGAAGGCGGCUCUCGGUCUGUAACUGACGCUGAGGCUCGAAAGCGUGGGGAGCAAACAGGAUUAGAUACCCUGGUAGUCCACGCCGUAAACGAUGAGUGCUAAGUGUUGGAGGGUUUCCGCCCUUCAGUGCUGCAGCUAACGCAUUAAGCACUCCGCCUGGGG
Molecule: ribosomal RNA, 836 nt
Filed under: Enterococcus durans
Lineage: Bacteria; Bacillati; Bacillota; Bacilli; Lactobacillales; Enterococcaceae
Description: bacterial SSU rRNA
Rfam family: Bacterial small subunit ribosomal RNA
Source: RNAcentral